RNAcentral lists this small RNA (104 nucleotides) under Flavobacterium swingsii. Its description in RNAcentral is "Flavo-1 RNA". It matches the Rfam family "Flavo-1 RNA". The record is from RNAcentral. Lineage: Bacteria; Pseudomonadati; Bacteroidota; Flavobacteriia; Flavobacteriales; Flavobacteriaceae.
UUUUAGCCCCGAUAGUAGUGGAAAUCCUUUUUUCGUCAGUUCGAGUAGCUUGCAAAGCGUAUCGAGAACAAGAAAAAAGAUUGUAACGGAUAGCGGGAAUAGCU